Molecule: transfer RNA, 73 nt
Filed under: Urocitellus parryii (Arctic ground squirrel)
Lineage: Eukaryota; Metazoa; Chordata; Mammalia; Rodentia; Sciuridae
Also listed under: 2 other names
Description: Spermophilus parryii (Arctic ground squirrel) tRNA
Rfam family: tRNA
About the family: Transfer RNA (tRNA) molecules are approximately 80 nucleotides in length. Their secondary structure includes four short double-helical elements and three loops (D, anti-codon, and T loops).
Source: Rfam by way of RNAcentral
UGGGGUGUAACUCAGUGGUAGAGUACUUUGGCUUGCAUGCAUGAGACCCUGGGUUUCAUCCUCAGCACCACAA